AUGAAGAAGUGUCUGAUUCUGCUGUCAGUUCUGGCGGUCCAGUUUCUGGGAUUGAAAGCUGCUCCAUCUGUGACUCAGUCACCGUUGUCAAAGUCGGUAAGAGUCGGGGAGACGGUCUCUCUGAGCUGUACGGCCAGUGAAGGAAUGGAUGAUGAUCUCAGCUGGUACCUGCAGAAACCUGGACAGCCUCCCAAACUGCUGUUUUACCAAAUAACUCUGAGUGAAUCUGACACUCCAGCUCAUUACAGCAGUGAUGGGUCUGAACCUGAAUUCACGCUGACCAUCACUGGAUUUCAGGCUCAAGAUGCUGGAGAUUAUUAUUGUAUGGGAGCAUAUACCGGUGGUGUGUUAACACAGUGA
Molecule: non-coding RNA, 360 nt
Organism: Cololabis saira (Pacific saury)
Lineage: Eukaryota; Metazoa; Chordata; Actinopteri; Beloniformes; Belonidae
Source: the annotation of a RefSeq genome assembly